GAUGAACGCUGGCGGCGUGCCUAAUACAUGCAAGUCGAGCGAACGGACGAGAAGCUUGCUUCUCUGAUGUUAGCGGCGGACGGGUGAGUAACACGUGGAUAACCUACCUAUAAGACUGGGAUAACUUCGGGAAACCGGAGCUAAUACCGGAUGAUAUUUUGAACCGCAUGGUUCAAAAGUGAAAGACGGUCUUGCUGUCACUUAUAGAUGGAUCCGCGCUGCAUUAGCUAGUUGGUAAAGUAACGGCUUACCAAGGCAACGAUGCAUAGCCGACCUGAGAGGGUGAUCGGCCACACUGGAACUGAGACACGGUCCAGACUCCUACGGGAGGCAGCAGUAGGGAAUCUUCCGCAAUGGGCGAAAGCCUGACGGAGCAACGCCGCGUGAGUGAUGAAGGUCUUCGGAUCGUAAAACUCUGUUAUUAGGGAAGAACAUAUGUGUAAGUAACUGUGCACAUCUUGACGGUACCUAAUCAGAAAGCCACGGCUAACUACGUG
RNAcentral lists this ribosomal RNA (497 nucleotides) under uncultured bacterium. RNAcentral describes it as "partial 16S ribosomal RNA". It matches the Rfam family "Bacterial small subunit ribosomal RNA", at positions 28 to 507 of the family's 1533-position model. The record is from RNAcentral.